UCUGCAACCCGACUCCAUNAAGCUGGAUUCGCUAGUAAUCGCGCAUCAGCCACGGCGCGGUGAAUACGUUCCCGGGCCUUGUACACACCGCCCGUCAAGCCAUGGAAGCCGGGAGUGCCUGAAGUGCGUGAGCGCAAGCAGCGCCCUAAGGUAAAACCGGUGACUGGGGCUAAGUCGUAACAAGGUAAC
Molecule: ribosomal RNA, 189 nt
Filed under: uncultured bacterium
Lineage: Bacteria
Description: partial 16S ribosomal RNA
Rfam family: Bacterial small subunit ribosomal RNA
Source: RNAcentral